GACGAACGCUGGCGGCGUGCUUAACACAUGCAAGUCGAACGGAAAGGCCCUGCUUUUGUGGGGUGCUCGAGUGGCGAACGGGUGAGUAACACGUGAGUAACCUGCCCUUGACUUUGGGAUAACUUCAGGAAACUGGGGCUAAUACCGGAUAGGAGCUCCUGCUGCAUGGUGGGGGUUGGAAAGUUUCGGCGGUUGGGGAUGGACUCGCGGCUUAUCAGCUUGUUGGUGGGGUAGUGGCUUACCAAGGCCUUGACGGGUAGCCGGCCUGAGAGGGUGACCGGCCACAUUGGGACUGAGAUACGGCCCAGACUCCUACGGGAGGCAGCAGUGGGGAAUAUUGCACAAUGGGCGGAAGCCUGAUGCAGCAACGCCGCGCGCGGGAUGACGGCCUUCGGGUUGUAAACCGCUUUCGCCUGUGACGAAGCGUGAGUGACGGUAAUGGGUAAAGAAGCACCGGCUAACUACGUG
This 468-nucleotide ribosomal RNA is filed under the name uncultured bacterium. Its description in RNAcentral is "partial 16S ribosomal RNA". It matches the Rfam family "Bacterial small subunit ribosomal RNA", at positions 28 to 507 of the family's 1533-position model. The record is from RNAcentral.